AUAAUGCCUACAAGAGAGUCCCAGAAUUCUAAUAUAGUUAAAAUCCUGAGCCCAUAGAUGAAGAAAACAUUAUACACUCUCCCCUUAACCUCCCCAGGCUUGUUCUCAAGUUUUCUGUUAAACCCUGAGUACCCACGGAUGAGAAGAUAAUGCUUCUUAAACAUUUAAAAGUAAAACUUUGUAUGUGCCAGUAAUAAUAAUAAAAAUAGUGUAUUCUCAAAACAAGAAGACAGUUGUGAUGGUAAGGAAUGGGGAUGCUUAUGGAUUCAGUGAAGGGAAAGCCAGGAAGAGUCCAGAUGGAUUAGAUGCCGAGCAUGAGAAGUCUCCGAUGGGACAAGCAGAAGGACCGAGAGGCCAGCAGUUGAAGUAGGAGAAGAGUAUGCAUGUGGUUUGGGUUGGGUCUUUUAUUUUUGAGCAAGAAAGUCGAGUUUGGAACAUGCUAAGUGUGAGUUAUACAAUUCUAUCUAGGAAAAGAUGCUGAGUAGCUUAGCUGAAUGUGCAGGUGCGUUCAGGAGAGAUGCUUGACUAGAAACAUUACGCAGAAGUUGGCAUCCUUACAUCUCCUGCACUGUCUGUAGUUGAAGCGCUUUAUCUUCACACCUCCUCAUGCGGUAGCCACAGUGCUGAGGAGGCUUAGCUUCCUCGUGAGAGCUGCUCUGAGGGGAAACUCUUACAGUCUUUCCUUUAGGUGGACCUCGGUCUCUGUCUGUUUCCCUAAGGCUGGAGGCUUUGAAGACCUCAUCUCAUACUCCGAAAGAGCAGCCGUUCCCUGCACCCAUCCCUUGCGGCCAUUUCAGAGGUUCUUUUCGUUGCCACCAGCUUACCUAAUCUCAUUCCCUCUUUUUUAAGCUUUCCAAAAGAUUUUUAAAAUAUUCUGUUCCAGGGUUGGGUCCAAAUAACUGCAUCUGUAUAGUCCUGGAAAUGAAUUGUCUCACUUAUUUUUCUUUAGGCUGAAAGACAAAAAAAGAAAAACCACUCAAGUUAGUAAUGAUACAUGUCAAUCACUUACCUCCUUUAAGCCCUGGCGGCUUUGCACCGUGGUCCUAGGCUUGCCUAAGAGUCGGAGACCAACCUGGGGAAUAGGGAGCCGCCUUUAAAAACGAUACUAGCAGCAAAUUCCCAUACCUCUCUAUUUUGUCUGCAUGCAAAUAUAUUAAAAAUAGUAAAAUGUUUUUAAGAUUAAACAAAAUUACUUUUUUUUUCCUGGUUGCUAUAGGACUGGCUGCCCCAGUGCCUGGAAUCUGAGGGAAAAUGGCAAGUGUGGAUGGUGAUUCCAGGCAUCUUCUCUCUGAGGUGGAACAUGAAGUAAGCCCUGGGCCUAUGAACAUCCAGUUUGAUUCAUCAGAUCUGAGAUCUAAAAGGUGAGGUCUUAAUGUGCUCACUUCAUACCUAGGGCUUCUAGCAAUUAAGAUAUAAUACAGUACAGCCCAAAAGAUCAAUAGAAUCGAUAAUGAAAUCAUCAUUUUCUUACAGGACUCAUACCCUGAUGUGUGUGCAUAUGAGUCCUGUUUCCUCACUUGCACAUUUUUGUGUCUUGGAAUAAACGAGUCUGUUAAGCAAAGGGCUGGGUUUUGUCAAGGAGGGCGCAUGUAUGUAAGGGACUCGGAUGCCUGUUGGUUGCCCGCUUCGUGCAGAGUAAUCUGAUACUACAGAUAGAAAAGGAAUAGGCCUUUGCCUUCACUGAGCUACAAUGACAGCGGGUAACUUAAAAUCACUUGAGAUUAAAUAAUCUUUCAGUUUAUGACUGGAAACCUCAAGAGAAUCUCCU
This 1768-nucleotide long non-coding RNA is filed under the name Mus musculus (house mouse). RNAcentral's name for it is "long non-coding RNA chr13:112668370-112670138". Lineage: Eukaryota; Metazoa; Chordata; Mammalia; Rodentia; Muridae. The record is from RNAcentral.